GUAACAUUGGUGCUUGCACCAGAUGACGAGUGGCGCACGGGUGCGUAACGCGUAUGCAACCUACCUUUUACUAGAGUAUAGCCCAGAGAAAUUUGGAUUAAUCCUCUAUAACAUCUUUUAAUUUCAUGAUUUUAAGAUUAAAGUUUUAACGGUAAAAGAUGGGCAUGCGUCCUAUUAGUUUGUAGGUGAGGUAACGGCUCACCUAGACUACGAUAGGUAGGGGCCCUGAGAGGGGGAUCCCCCACACUGGUACUGAGACACGGACCAGACUCCUACGGGAGGCAGCAGUAAGGAAUAUUGGACAAUGGACGAAAGUCUGAUCCAGCCAUGCCGCGUGCAGGAUGACAGCCCUACGGGUUGUAAACUGCUUUUAUACAGGAAGAAACACUCCGACGUGUCGGAGCUUGACGGUACUGUAAGAAUAAGGAUCGGCUAACCCCGUGCCAGCAGCCGCGGUAAUACGGAGGAUCCAAGCGUUAUCCGGAAUCAUUGGGUUUAAAGGGUCCGCAGGCUGUUUUUUAAGUCAGAGGUGAAAUCCUACAGCUCAACUGUAGAACUGCCUUUGAUACUGGAAAACUUGAGUUAUUGUGAAGUGGUUAGAAUGUGUGGUGUAGCGGUGAAAUGCAUAGAUAUCACACAGAAUACCGAUUGCGAAGGCAGAUCACUAACAAUAUACUGACGCUCAUGGACGAAAGCGUGGGGAGCGGACAGGAUUAGAUACUCUGGUAGUCCACGCCGUAAACGAUGGAUACUAGCUGUUCGUCUAACAUUGGUUAGAUGAGUGGCUAAGCGAAAGUGAUAAGUAUCCCACCUGGG
Molecule: ribosomal RNA, 816 nt
Filed under: uncultured marine bacterium
Lineage: Bacteria
Description: bacterial SSU rRNA
Rfam family: Bacterial small subunit ribosomal RNA
Source: RNAcentral